AUCAUGCUGUCAGUUGCAGCAGAAGAAGAGAAGCUCCCAUCAGAUCACCUUCAAUACCAACCAUGUUCUCUGUAGCUCUGCUGCUGCUGCUGGCUGCUGGAUCCUGUGUAAAGUGUGAACAGUUGACACAGCCAGCCUCUGUGACUGUGCAGCCAGGUCAACGUCUGACCAUCACCUGUCAGGUCUCUUAUUCUGUUAGCAGCUACUACACAGCUUGGAUCAGACAGCCUGCAGGGAAAGGACUGGAGUGGAUUAGUUCUGAUACACGCAUCAAAGAUUCACUGAAGAACAAGAGUUUGGAGUGAGAUCAAACUGGACCAGACUCCCUCUGAGGUGAAAAGACCUGGAGAGAAAGUGAAGAUGUCAUGUAUCAUAUCUGGUUAUAGCAUGACAAGCUACAAUAUUCACUGGAUAAGACAGAGGCCAGGGAAAGCUCUGGAGUGGAUAGGAGAGAUGAACACAGGUUCAAACUCUGCUAUCUAUGGCAGCUCCUUUCAAAGUCGUUUCAUCAUGACUGAAGAUGUGUCCAGCAGCACUCAGUACCUCGAGGUCAACAGCCUGACAGCAGAAGAUUCUGCUGUUUACUUCUGUGCUUGAAGAGACGCAGUGACUGAAGACAGUGGAGCAGCUGCACAAAAACCUCCAGACAACAAACAGCAGUGUGAUCUCAAUGAUAUCUGUCUUUCACCACCUACAAAAGAACUUUCA
Molecule: non-coding RNA, 708 nt
Organism: Dicentrarchus labrax (European seabass)
Lineage: Eukaryota; Metazoa; Chordata; Actinopteri; Moronidae
Source: the annotation of a RefSeq genome assembly